GAAAUGCGAUAAGUAAUGUGAAUUGCAGAAUUCCGUGAAUCAUCGAAUCUUUGAACGCACAUUGCACCCUCUGGCAUUCCGGGGGGCAUGCCUGUCCGAGCGUCAUUACGCACCCUCAAGCCCGGCUUGUGUGAUGGGCCCCGGCGUCUCGUUCGCGAGACGGGCCCGAAAGUCAGCGGCGGCGUCGACCCGAUGAGCCCGAGCGUAUGGGGACUUCUGUCACACGUUCGCGGUGCGGACCGGCGCCUGCUUGACUUUUCUGAUUAUCCAGGUUGACCUCGGAUCAGGUAGGGAUACCCGCUGAACUUAAGC
RNAcentral lists this unclassified non-coding RNA (312 nucleotides) under plant metagenome. RNAcentral describes it as "partial contains 5.8S ribosomal RNA, internal transcribed spacer 2, and large subunit ribosomal RNA". The stretch from base 1 to 105 matches the Rfam family "5.8S ribosomal RNA", at positions 50 to 154 of the family's 154-position model. The record is from RNAcentral.